UAGAGAAGCGAGAGAUGCUAGUGAAAGAUCUAGAAGGCGUGAUCUAGAUCGAUCAAGAAGUCAUCGUUCACCCAUCUCUAGGAAAAAUAGAAGUAGAAGCACGAGUCCUCGCAGAAGAAGAUCAUACAGAGCGGGUUCCGAUUCUCCCAGUCACCAACGGGAACGUUCACCACAGAGAGGUAGGAAACCAGAUCAUUCUGAUUUAAGAUCACCUAGUCGCCAUCAUGGGAAAAGCAGAUCAUCCCCAAGAAAGGAUGAUGGUGACAAACUAAAACAUAGAAGACGGUCAAGGUCUAAAUCCCUUGAGACCAAGCUCCAUUCUGAUGAAAAAAUUAAUGAAACACGACACGGAAAAUCAAAGAACCGGGAUAGAAGGCGAUCAAGAUCUGCUUCACUGGAAGACAAGCAUAGUAAAAGAAGAUCAUCUCCUAGAAGCAUGGAUAAGAACAUUUCUAAACAUAGAAGGCAUUCUAGAUCAAACUCUAGGGAAAAGGUUGAUGAUACUGCAUCAAAAUAUCAUGGUAGGAGGCGAUCGCGGUCAAGUUCUUCAGAAAGUAAACAUCUCCCUGAUAGUAAGGUGGAUAGCAGUAGAGAUGAAAAACUGAAACAUCGUAGCAGAAGAAGAUCCAGGUCAAAAUCUUUAGACGGUAAGCAUCACAGGAGGGAGAAAUCAGAUAGAAGCAGAGACAAAAAGUCGAGGCAUCGUGAUAGAAGGUUAUCCAGAUCUGUAUCUCCUGAGGCUGGACAUCAAAGAGUGACAAGGCUGUCUCCUACCAGUUCUGAUGAAAAUAAA
RNAcentral lists this unclassified non-coding RNA (793 nucleotides) under Hevea brasiliensis (rubber tree). The record is from RNAcentral. Lineage: Eukaryota; Viridiplantae; Streptophyta; Magnoliopsida; Malpighiales; Euphorbiaceae.